Molecule: ribosomal RNA, 229 nt
Filed under: uncultured bacterium
Lineage: Bacteria
Description: partial 16S ribosomal RNA
Rfam family: Bacterial small subunit ribosomal RNA
Source: RNAcentral
UCCGUAGGCGGGCAAUUAAGUCAGAGGUGAAAUCCCACAGCUCAACUGUGGAACUGCCUUUGAUACUGGUUGUCUUGAGUUACAGUGAAGUAGAUAGAAUAUGUAGUGUAGCGGUGAAAUGCAUAGAUAUUACAUAGAAUACCGAUUGCGAAGGCAGUCUACUGACUGUAUACUGACGCUAAUGGACGAAAGCGUGGGGAGCGAACAGGAUUAGAUACCCUGGUAGUCC